Molecule: ribosomal RNA, 1023 nt
Filed under: uncultured Acidobacteriota bacterium
Lineage: Bacteria; Pseudomonadati; Acidobacteriota
Description: bacterial SSU rRNA
Rfam family: Bacterial small subunit ribosomal RNA
Source: RNAcentral
AGAGUUUGAUCCUGGCUCAGAAUCAACGCUGGCGGCGUGCCUAACACAUGCAACGUCGAACGAGAAAGUUCCGCGAGGAGCAACGUACGAGUGGCGCACGGGUGAGUAACACGUGGAUCACCUGCCGUCGAGUGGGGAAUAACCUUCCGAAGAGGGGGGCUAAGUACCGCAUAACACCCGAGGACACACGUCCCUGGGNUUGAAAGGAGAUGAUUCGCUCGAUGAGGGGUCCGCGCCUGAUUUAGCUUGUUGGUAAGGUAAUGGCUUACCAANUGCAACGAUCAGUAGCCGUCCUGAGAGGGAGCAUCGGCGCACACUGGUAACUGAUUACGCGGUCCAUGACUCCUACGGGAGGCAGCAGUGAGGAAUUUUCUCGGCACACUGGGCUGAAAGCCUGACCAAGCAAGCGCCGCUGUGGGUGACUGAACGUAUUUUGGUACGUAAAACCCUUUCGGCAGGGACGAAUUCUUGACGGUACCUGCGGAAGAAGCCCCGGCUACUCCGUGCCAGCAGCCGCGAGUAAUACGGGGGGGGCAAGCGNUNUUCGGAAUUACUGGGCGUAAAGGGCGCGUAGGCGGUUGGAUAAGCUCAGCUGUGAAAACCUCAGGCUCAACUUGAGGCCUGCAGUUUGAAACUGUCCAGCUAGAGUGUGGGAGAGGAGAGUGGAAUUCCCGGUGUAGCGGUGAAAUGCGUAGAUAUCGGGAGGAACACCAGUGGCGAAGGCGGCUCUCUGGACCACUACUGACGCUGAGGCGCGAAAGCUAGGGGAGCAAACAGGAUUAGAUACCCUGGUAGUCCUAGCUGUAAACGAUGGAUACUUGCUGUAGGGGGUAUUGAAUCCCCCUGUGGCGAAGCUAACGCAUUAAGUAUCCCGCCUGGGGAGUACGGUCACAAGGCUGAAACUCAAAGGAAUUGACCGGGGGCCCGCACAAGCGGCGGAGCAUGUUGCUUAAUUCGAGGCAACGCGAAGAACCUUACCUGGGUUUGACAUGUAUGGAAAAGCCAUAGAGAUAUGUGUCCUAC